RNAcentral lists this ribosomal RNA (429 nucleotides) under Actinomycetes bacterium. RNAcentral describes it as "Actinobacteria bacterium partial 16S ribosomal RNA". It matches the Rfam family "Bacterial small subunit ribosomal RNA", at positions 355 to 776 of the family's 1533-position model. The record is from RNAcentral. Lineage: Bacteria; Bacillati; Actinomycetota; Actinomycetes.
UAGGGAAUCUUCCGCAAUGGGCGAAAGCCUGACGGAGCAACGCCGCGUGAGUGAUGAAGGUCUUCGGAUCGUAAAACUCUGUUAUUAGGGAAGAACAAAUGUGUAAGUAACUAUGCACGUCUUGACGGUACCUAAUCAGAAAGCCACGGCUAACUACGUGCCAGCAGCCGCGGUAAUACGUAGGUGGCAAUCGUUAUCCGGAAUUAUUGGGCGUAAAGCGCGCGUAGGCGGUUUUUUAAGUCUGAUGUGAAAGCCCACGGCUCAACCGUGGGGGGUCAUUUGAAACUGGAAAACUUGAGUGCAGAAGAGGAAAGUGGAAUUCCAUGUGUAGCGGUGAAAUGCGCAGAGAUAUGGAGGAACACCAGUGGCGAAGGCGACUUUCUGGGCUGUAACUGACGCUGAUGUGCGAAAGCGUGGGGAUCAAACAGG